UACGUAGGGUGCGAGCGUUGUCCGGAAUUAUUGGGCGUAAAGAGCUUGUAGGCGGUUUGUCGCGUCUGCUGUGAAAAUCCGGGGCUCAACCCCGGACUUGCAGUGGGUACGGGCAGACUAGAGUGUGGUAGGGGAGACUGGAAUUCCUGGUGUAGCGGUGGAAUGCGCAGAUAUCAGGAAGAACACCAAUGGCGAAAGCAGCUCUCUGGGACGGUACUGACGCUGAGACGCGAAAGCGUGGGGAGCGAACAGG
This 253-nucleotide ribosomal RNA is filed under the name uncultured bacterium. Its description in RNAcentral is "partial 16S ribosomal RNA". It matches the Rfam family "Bacterial small subunit ribosomal RNA", at positions 524 to 776 of the family's 1533-position model. The record is from RNAcentral.